Molecule: ribosomal RNA, 253 nt
Filed under: uncultured bacterium
Lineage: Bacteria
Description: partial 16S ribosomal RNA
Rfam family: Bacterial small subunit ribosomal RNA
Source: RNAcentral
GACGUAGGGCGCGAGCGUUGUCCGGAUUUAUUGGGCGUAAAGAGCUCGUAGGCGGCUUGUCGCGUCGUCCGUGAAAACCUGCAGCUCAACUGCAGGCUUGCGGUCGAUACGGGCAGGCUGGAGUUCGGUAGGGGAGACUGGAAUUCCUGGUGUAGCGGUGGAAUGCGCAGAUAUCAGGAAGAACACCCGUGGCGAAGGCGACUCUCUGGAACGCAACUGACGCUGAGACGCGAAAGCGUGGGGAGCAAACAGG